Molecule: ribosomal RNA, 492 nt
Filed under: uncultured bacterium
Lineage: Bacteria
Description: partial 16S ribosomal RNA
Rfam family: Bacterial small subunit ribosomal RNA
Source: RNAcentral
AGUGAACGCUGGCGGUAGGCCUAACACAUGCAGGUCGAACGGCAGCACAGUAAGAGCUUGCUCUUACGGGUGGCGAGUGGCGGACGGGUGAGGAAUACAUCGGAAUCUACUUUUUCGUGGGGGAUAACGUAGGGAAACUUACGCUAAUACCGCAUACGACCUACGGGUGAAAGCAGGGGAUCUUCGGACCUUGCGCGAUUGAAUGAGCCGAUGUCGGAUUAGCUAGUUGGCGGGGUAAAGGCCCACCAAGGCGACGAUCCGUAGCUGGUCUGAGAGGAUGAUCAGCCACACUGGAACUGAGACACGGUCCAGACUCCUACGGGAGGCAGCAGUGGGGAAUAUUGGACAAUGGGCGCAAGCCUGAUCCAGCCAUACCGCGUGGGUGAAGAAGGCCUUCGGGUUGUAAAGCCCUUUUGUUGGGAAAGGAAAGCAGCAGGUUAAUACCCCGCUGUUCUGACGGUACCCAAAGAAUAAGCACCGGCUAACUUCGUG